Molecule: ribosomal RNA, 426 nt
Filed under: Ceratophysella aff. denticulata L1
Lineage: Eukaryota; Metazoa; Arthropoda; Collembola; Poduromorpha; Hypogastruridae
Description: partial 28S ribosomal RNA
Source: RNAcentral
GGGAAAGUUGAAAAGAACUUUGAAGAGAGAGUUCAAUAGUACGUGAAACCUCUCGGGGGUAAGCGGGCAGAACUUGCAAGUAUUGUCAAGAGAUUCAGACUUGGUAUUGGAGGGGGAGUAUGCGGGUUAAAUGGNUCAUUCGUGGACUGUUGAUCUGUGUGUUUCAUUCUUUCGAUAAUGCGUCGCACUUCUCUUGUACAUCCGGGUUGCAUGCAACUGAGAUGAUGGUUUAGGAGCUGGGGUACUGCGGAUCCUUGUGGUUUGAGUCCUAGUUUCCGACUAUUCUUGCGGUUGUUGAAAGCGAACAAGAGCUUGUCUCGGUCAACUUCUUCCACGAGUCGUGUGCAUGGAUUGUAUGGACGGGUAACCGUAAUAUGACCUGUGUACUGGUUGUCUGUGUGAGUUGUUUGGCAUUGUUCAGUAUUG